AUAAAAUAAUCUAAGAUAACCUAGAUUGUAUUGAAUUAAAUAAUACAAAAAGAUUAGUAAUAGAAAUAUAAUUUAAAUAAAUGUUACAAAUGUACCUAUCAUAAUAAUAUUAAGUUAAGAAUAAUAUUAUUAGAAUAUUAGUAUAUUGUAUAUUCUUACUAUAACCUUAUGAACUAAGCACCUCCAAAGAGAACUAAAUUAGGAUAAAAGAUAUCAAAUUUUAGAAACCUCAUUGAAGCAUAAUUAGAUCUUAAUUAUCUGAAUCAUGUUUUAUUUCCAUCUGUAUUUUGUAUAUUAUCUUCUUUGUUAUAUUAUUGCACUACUAACCAACAAUGCUUAGCGCGAUGGUUUUGUUUCCUCGCGCAGGUACUGA
Molecule: unclassified non-coding RNA, 373 nt
Filed under: Hevea brasiliensis (rubber tree)
Lineage: Eukaryota; Viridiplantae; Streptophyta; Magnoliopsida; Malpighiales; Euphorbiaceae
Source: RNAcentral